This 530-nucleotide transfer RNA is filed under the name uncultured Prochlorococcus sp. Its description in RNAcentral is "partial 16S-23S ribosomal RNA intergenic spacer". The stretch from base 215 to 287 matches the Rfam family "tRNA". Lineage: Bacteria; Bacillati; Cyanobacteriota; Cyanophyceae; Synechococcales; Prochlorococcaceae. The record is from RNAcentral.
CAGGGAGACAACAAAAUGUUUAAUAUUAUUAUUUUGUCACCUUAGGUCGAUCGGUAUCUCACAUUCUUAAUUCAUUAAGAAUUUCAUUUCCUAAGUUUUUCUAGGUCACACCCAUUAUUUUCCUGGGCCAUUAGCCCAGGUGGUUAGAGCGCACCCCUGAUAAGGGUGAGGUCCCUGGUUCAAGUCCAGGAUGGCCCAUACAUAUCUCUAUGUUGGGGGUAUAGCUCAGUUGGUAGAGCGCCUGCUUUGCAAGCAGGAUGUCAGCGGUUCGAGUCCGCUUACCUCCACUGAUUACCACCUCUCCCAUAAAAAUGUAGAAAGGAAAUGUUAUGAGGUCUGAUCAAAUUCUGAACGAAUCUAGCUUCCUAAUCAAAUAAUUAAGAUGCUGGACUUAUUGAAUUAAAUUCAUUGUUUUCAGAGAACCUUGACAACUGCAUAGAUUAUUUUAAAGACAAUAAGCAUCUUUAUUGAUGCAGAUUUAUUAUUUGUGCGAAUGCAUUAAUAACAAUUCUAUUAAGCUGAUGCUUCAA